This 443-nucleotide ribosomal RNA is filed under the name uncultured bacterium. RNAcentral describes it as "partial 16S ribosomal RNA". It matches the Rfam family "Bacterial small subunit ribosomal RNA", at positions 338 to 795 of the family's 1533-position model. The record is from RNAcentral.
CCUACGGGUGGCAGCAGUGGGGAAUAUUGGGCAAUGGGCGCAAGCCUGACCCAGCAACGCCGCGUGAAGGAAGAAGGCUUUCGGGUUGUAAACUUCUUUUCUCAGGGACGAAGCAAGUGACGGUACCUGAGGAAUAAGCCACGGCUAACUACGUGCCAGCAGCCGCGGUAAUACGUAGGUGGCAAGCGUUAUCCGGAUUUACUGGGUGUAAAGGGCGUGUAGCCGGGGUGACAAGUCAGAUGUGAAAGCCUGCGGCGUAACCGCAGAACUGCAUUUGAAACUGUUGAUCUUGAGUACUGGAGAGGCAGACGGAAUUCCUAGUGUAGCGGUGAAAUGCGUAGAUAUUAGGAGGAACACCAGUGGCGAAGGCGGUCUGCUGGACAGCAACUGACGGUGAGGCGCGAAAGCGUGGGGAGCAAACAGGAUUAGAUACCCUUGUAGUC